UACGAAGGGUGCAAGCGUUACUCGGAAUUACUGGGCGUAAAGCGUGCGUAGGUGGUUUGUUAAGUCUGUUGUGAAAGCCCCGGGCUCAACCUGGGAAUGGCAAUGGAUACUGGCAGGCUAGAGUGCGGUAGAGGGUAGUGGAAUUCCCGGUGUAGCGGUGAAAUGCGUAGAGAUCGGGAGGAACACCGGUGGCGAAGGCGGCUCGCUGGGCCAGUUCUGACACUCAUCCGCGAAAGCGUGGGGAGCAAACAGG
Molecule: ribosomal RNA, 253 nt
Filed under: uncultured bacterium
Lineage: Bacteria
Description: partial 16S ribosomal RNA
Rfam family: Bacterial small subunit ribosomal RNA
Source: RNAcentral